UCGGGAAUUUUGGGCAAUGGGCGAAAGCCUGACCCAGCAACGCCGCGUGAAGGAUGAAGUAUUUCGGUAUGUAAACUUCGAAAGAAUAGGAAGAAUAAAUGACGGUACUAUUUAUAAGGUCCGGCUAACUCUGUGCCAGCAGCCGCGGUAAUACAGAGGUGGCGAGCGUUAUUCGGAAUUAUUGGGCGUAAAGGGCGCGUAGGCGGCCAGAUAAGUCCCGGGUGAAAUCCCUCGGCUCAACCGAGGAACUGCCUUGGAAACUGUCUGGCUCGAGGCCGGGAGAGGGUAGUGGAAUUCCCAGUGUAGCGGUGAAAUGCGUAGAUACUGGGAGGAACACCGGUGGCGAAGGCGGCUACCUGGACCGGUUCUGACGCUGAUGCGCGAAAGCGUGGGGAGCAAACAGGAUUAGAUACCCUGGUAGUCCCUGAGCGGGCUGGCAAGGCGCAU
This 447-nucleotide ribosomal RNA is filed under the name uncultured bacterium. RNAcentral describes it as "bacterial SSU rRNA". It matches the Rfam family "Bacterial small subunit ribosomal RNA", at positions 355 to 825 of the family's 1533-position model. The record is from RNAcentral.